AGAAAUUUAAGUUAAUUAAACUAAGAACCUUCAAAGCUCUAAACAGGGGACCCCCCUAAUUUCUG
Molecule: transfer RNA, 65 nt
Filed under: Hemidactylus frenatus (common house gecko)
Lineage: Eukaryota; Metazoa; Chordata; Lepidosauria; Squamata; Gekkonidae
Description: tRNA-Trp
Source: RNAcentral